AGAAUCAACGCUGGCGGCGUGCCUAACACAUGCAAGUCGAACGCGAAAGCCCCGCAAGGGGUGAGUAGAGUGGCAAACGGGUGAGUAACACGUGGGUGACCUGCCUUAGAGUGGGGGAUAACGUCCCGAAAGGGACGCUAAUACCGCAUAACAUCCUGCCUUUGAAGAGGUGGAGAUCAAAGCCGGGACCGCAAGGCCUGGCGCUUCAAGAGGGGCCCGCGCCUGAUUAGCUAGUUGGUGAGGUAAUGGCUCACCAAGGCAACGAUCAGUA
Molecule: ribosomal RNA, 271 nt
Filed under: uncultured bacterium
Lineage: Bacteria
Description: partial small subunit ribosomal RNA
Rfam family: Bacterial small subunit ribosomal RNA
Source: RNAcentral